CUUCAACGUUCUUCAUGUUAAGAAUCAAGGACAUUAUUUAGUUGACAGUCUAAAGAUGGAUACUUCUCUAGGCUUAGUGAUGAUGAUUCUCCCGAUACUUGGAAGAACUCAAGGAAACUCAGUGACACAGACCGAAGGUCAAGUGAUCUUGACAGAGGGGGCUUUGCUGACUAUAAACUGCAGUUAUUCAACCACAGGGUACCCUUCUCUGUUCUGAACUGCUAUAACAAAUUGCCAGGCUGUGUAUUUCAAGCAACAGGAAUUCGUUUUCUCCCAGUUCUGGAGUCUGCAAGUACAAGAUCAAGUUUUCUGCAGGAUCCUUUCUCUUGAG
Non-coding RNA from Ictidomys tridecemlineatus (thirteen-lined ground squirrel), 331 nucleotides. NCBI's taxonomy places the organism in Eukaryota, Metazoa, Chordata, Mammalia, Rodentia, Sciuridae. The record is from RefSeq and is a predicted model, not a curated record.